Molecule: ribosomal RNA, 253 nt
Filed under: uncultured bacterium
Lineage: Bacteria
Description: partial 16S ribosomal RNA
Rfam family: Bacterial small subunit ribosomal RNA
Source: RNAcentral
UACGGGGGGGGCAAGCGUUGUUCGGAAUUACUGGGCGUAAAGGGUUUGUAGGUGGCCGAUUAAGUCAUACGUGAAAUCCCUCAGCUUAACUGGGGAACUGCGUCUGAUACUGGUUGGCUUGAGUGCAGGAGAGGAACGCGGAAUUCCAGGUGUAGCGGUGAAAUGCGUAGAGAUGCGGAGGAACACCGAUGGCGAAGGCAGCCCCCUGGGUCGACACUGACGCUCAGGCACGAAAGCGUGGGGAGCAAACAGG